CGCCGAUUCGAAUGCACGUCAGUCAACUGUCACCAACCGUCUUCUGAAGAAAUCAUUUUGAUCGUCGGUCGGACAGCAAACUACCUGUUGGCAGGUUGACGUAAGAAAAUGGGCAAAACAUGGGUCCUAGUGGAAUGAAGGGAGGAGCCACCGACCUGACAUUGUUCCUAAAAAGAACAUACUGAAAAAUAACUUUGACCCUGGAGAUGUUGUGGAUGUUGCCGAUGAGAAUGAAAGUUUACCAGCCACAGUUUUAGACUGUUUCUAAGAGAACAAAGAAACUCUCAGGAGGAGGAUAUUCAGGAGAGGGGAAUUUACAGACACAGCACAGAAGAAAUUUCCAGAUGUACCAAUAAAAGUUAUCAGGGCAGCACUCGGAAAAAUUAAGAGCACAAGUUACGAGUAAGGGAAAUGGAGUAAAUGCAGCCUGCUGUGAAUUGGAUUCUGCUUUGGUC
Long non-coding RNA from Danio aesculapii, 455 nucleotides. RefSeq lists it as uncharacterized. The record is from RefSeq and is a predicted model, not a curated record. The transcript has 5 exons. Lineage: Eukaryota; Metazoa; Chordata; Actinopteri; Cypriniformes; Danionidae.